Molecule: ribosomal RNA, 497 nt
Filed under: uncultured bacterium
Lineage: Bacteria
Description: partial 16S ribosomal RNA
Rfam family: Bacterial small subunit ribosomal RNA
Source: RNAcentral
GAUGAACGCUGGCGGCGUGCCUAAUACAUGCAAGUCGAGCGAACGGACGAGAAGCUUGCUUCUCUGAUGUUAGCGGCGGACGGGUGAGUAACACGUGGAUAACCUACCUAUAAGACUGGGAUAACUUCGGGAAACCGGAGCUAAUACCGGAUAAUAUUUUGAACCGCAUGGUUCAAAAGUGAAAGACGGUCUUGCUGUCACUUAUAGAUGGAUCCGCGCUGCAUUAGCUAGUUGGUAAGGUAACGGCUUACCAAGGCAACGAUGCAUAGCCGACCUGAGAGGGUGAUCGGCCACACUGGAAGUGAGACACGGUCAAGACUCCUACGGGAGGCAGCAGUAGGGAAUCUUACGCAAUGGGCGAAAGCCUGACGGAGCAACGCGGCGUGAGUGACGAAGGUCUUCGGAUCGUAAAACUGUGUUAUGAGGGAAGAACAUAUGUGUAAGUAAAUGUGCACAUAGUGACGGUACCUAAUCAGAAAGCCACGGCUAACUACGUG